This 1193-nucleotide long non-coding RNA is filed under the name Capsicum annuum. Its description in RNAcentral is "long non-coding RNA (CANN_LNC012952)". Lineage: Eukaryota; Viridiplantae; Streptophyta; Magnoliopsida; Solanales; Solanaceae. The record is from RNAcentral.
UUCCUAUGUUCCUUCUUCAUGUCUUCACAGGGUAUGACAAUCCCUAGUCACAUUUUUAGGAGCAAAAAUCCUACUUCUUUUUCAUGCAUUCAUUAGGCAUAACUUCCUUUGGUCAUAUUAUUAAGAAUAGGGUUCCUAUUUUAUCGCACUCCUCGCCUAAAUUUCUAUCCCUUCGUUUAUUUAUUUUUAAACUAGAUUAUAGCUUUUCUAAUAACUCACAAAAUGUUCCUAGUAUAAACUGGGGCAGAAAAUUUUGUUUGUUUGUUUCGUCUUCUUUGAUGGCUCGCAGGUUUUCCGCAAAGCACAGGUCUAUCCAAGAACGGAUUUUCAUCUCCGGUUAAAAUAUAGAAGAAUGGUCGGUUUGAAGAUAGUUAGAGUCAGCUCUGCAUCCAUAGCGGCUCAAUAUCUCAAGAGACAUCUUUUAGUUUCUGAUUAGGAGAACAAGCAUCCAAAGUAUUCUAUGAACUGUCUUUUGGUAGAGUAUCAAUGACUCAAUCCAAGUUUCAAGUUCAAGUCUCAAAUAUUAAUUGCAAGAUCAAAUUUUGAGAUCAAGGUACCCACCAGAAGAAGGUGAGGCAAUAACUGAAGAUCCAAGAGGAAGACCGGAAGCAAGAAGAUCAAGACAAAUAGAAUAGACAGGAUCUUGUACUUUUAUUUCCAGUUUUACAUUUUUGAUGUAAUAAAAAGAGCCACGAACCGGAAACUCGAUGGGACCUCAACUCGACUCUCCAACUCAUCCAUUCAUUCCACUCUUACACCCAUUUAAAUUACACGUGACCUGAUCUCUUAUAACCCGAGAUAUGUAGGAUGCCCAAAGCCAGGGCUCGGUCACACCUUUUUCCUACUUAUUUACGUAUUACUUUUGAAUAAAUGGUUGGGCCAAAAAUUAGUCCUGUUCACUUCUUUGCUUGGAAAUUCUCCAUAUUUUCAAGCAAAGAAGGGGCAUUCUGUAAACACCUAAUUUUUGACCAAACUGAAUGUUUUACGUCAUUUAGUAUCUUAUUUUACAAGAUUGCUUUUAAAGUUUGGAAAACUACAAAAUAAAGUCAUAUUAAAAUAAGUUUUUUAUUUAUUUAUUUUUAUUACUUAUUUAUUUAUUUAAAAAAAAAAAAGAAGAAGAAGAAGUCAAAUCCUAAAUCUACCCAAACCACCCACAAUCCCCCACUCCUAAUCAACCUCCCCCACUAUCCCNN